AAAAAUGAGAGAGAGAAAAGGGACAAAAUAUACAAACGAAUCCCUCCCAAGACUUAGGAAGGUCGAUACUAGACCCACUAUUAAAAGAUACCCAGUGUACUAGAAAGAAUCCAAAAUAUACACAAUAUAUACAAGUAGUCUUGAGUACAAAAUACUAAAUUGAAAAUGAUAAAGGAGGAUCAUCCUCGAACGACAGCAAGCUCACCCUAUUCCGAAUCAAUACUGAAAAAUAGAACCAUGUCAAUGCCAACUGCUAGUGCUCGGAUAUGCAUCAGAAAAAAGAUUCAGAAGUGUAGUAUGAGUACCAACACAAUGGGUACUCAGUAGGCAUUAUCGAUCGACUGAGCUCAAUAAAAAUUAUAACUAAAAUGCGAGGGUGUAAUCUAAGUCAACAGUAAACAUGGAUAGAAAGGUAAACAACUACCAAGCUACGCAAAUAUGAUAACGAAAUAAAUAUAAGUGAUAGAAAAUAAAUAAUGCAGUAAUUAUAAAAAUUUAAAUAAAAUCUAACUGGGCCUCCAUAAGAACACUAGGCACACUGAAGAAGAUAAUUAACCCAACCGUACCCUUAGAAACUGGUGGGACACACAAGAAAUAAUUAAUAAAAAUAAAUAUAAAUAAUCCAUAACUAAAUCCAUCCCUUAAAAUCAUAGUAUCCAUCCAUAUGUGCAUCAUACUUGAACCAACACCAAUGGGUAGUAACAAGAGGCUAGACGUCGGGCUUGAAUCGAUAGGGAUGGAUAAUAACAAGAGGCCAUAUGUCGAAUUAAAACCAAAAAUAGAGGGUAACAAUGAGAGGCCACAUAUAUUAUAUACAACAGAACUCAUAACGUGAUUCCAAAAUCGAACCGGAAUUCAGAGGAAUCAUAAUUCCCAGAACAACCAUAAUCAGUAUGAGAACUCCCAAAACAUUAUAACCAGAUGCCAGACUGAAAUUGGAACUCCUAGUAACCCUGUCCAACUGUAAAAUUAAUACCCUAACCAUACCAUAACCAAUUCUAAAGUGGUACCAAGACUCACAAUAACUGAUAGAAAAAAAGUAUAUGCUGAAUCUAAAUCGAAACUAAAAUAUAUUUAAAUAACCAUUCACAUAUGUUAAUUAAAAAGGGAUGAAUUCAAGGUUCCAAAACUUAAUACCAUGUCCUAAAGUGAUAGAUGUUAUAUCAUACUAAAGGAUAAGAUACUAAAAUAUACUAGAACAGGGUCAUAACCGGAUAAAUAAGGCAUGAUAUAUAUAUUAAAUAGUAUGCAAACUACAAGUACUUGUCCAAAACUAGCAUAGUAGUGCACAAUUACCGUAAAUUAGCUCAAUCUAAAAGUAGGACAAACCUAACCAACCUGGAGGCCAAAAAUAAAAACUUCUCCAAGAAUCUUUCGAAUAGUAUCCCUCUAGAAUCCGAGUUGAAUAAAUAUAGUAGUAUCUUUAAAAUUUCCUUCGUGAUUCAAGAGUUGAUAGCAAGCUUUUAAGAUAAGUUACAGGAAUAGAUUCCCUUAAAACUUAAAUAGUGAAUGAAUUGCACUGAUAUAUCAAAGUUUUCUAUUUCCUAACGUCACUAUUUGUAAUGAAAUCGCACCAUAAUAUUUAUUAUGAUUACACCUCUCACUUUGGUGACAUUUUUGAUGGAUCCCACGUCCAGAGGGUGUGGCAAUACUACCCCUUGCUCUCCGUUAAAUUCACACUCGGGUAGAUAGGUUCGUGAUAAAAUCAAUAUAAUAUUUUGAAUAUAUCAUAAUUAAUAGAAAAUUAUUUCUAAAAUCUCUAUUAUAUAAUAAUAAAAUUUUAACAUAUUUAAAUUUACUAUCUCCUUUUAAAAUAUUAAUAGACCAUAAAAGCUAUUAUAAAGUCAUAUAAAUAUAACAUUAAUUAAAGAAUUUUAUCAAAAUAAAAAAUAUUUUAGAAGGGUAAUAAAUUAUAUUUUUACUAAAUGCCAAUUUAAAUUAAGUAUUCUACAAUAUAUUUGGUAUCACUAAAAUUCUCAAAUGAACCGCGUGAAAUCAAACUAUUAGUUCCAACAAGUCAUAAAUAACUCGGGACAGUUAUAAGAAAUCUCUACACACCAAAAAUAUAUAAAAAUAAGAAAAAUGACCAUAAAGAUAAUUACAUAUACCCGACAUUCACGUUUCGCAACCAUGCAUAAUCACCAUUAUCAAAAGAGCCGAUCCACUCAAGGAACAAAUAUCAACAUAAAAUAUUAUUGAAAUUUAAUUCAUGUGAAUGAAUGUAUAUAUGCAAGAUGUGUGCAUCAUAUCUUUCUCUUUCGAAUCUCAUCAACAUAAUUUUUCACAUCCUGAACAUCAUGAUCAAUAUCGAAUAAUCUAUUGGGUUCUAAGUGAUGAAAAUUGAAUGGAAAAUAGAGAAACAAAUAAAUAGGGAGAAAAGAGCAAAUUGUCCUUUCGCCUUUAAAGAAGAGUAUCUCUCUCACAUUGGUGUGAGAAAGUGAAAUUAUUAUGAUUAAG
This 2457-nucleotide long non-coding RNA is filed under the name Capsicum annuum. Its description in RNAcentral is "long non-coding RNA (CANN_LNC014610)". The record is from RNAcentral. Lineage: Eukaryota; Viridiplantae; Streptophyta; Magnoliopsida; Solanales; Solanaceae.